AGCAGCCGCGGUAAUUCCAGCUCCAAUAGCGUAUAUUAAAGUUGUUGCAGUUAAAAAGCUCGUAGUUGAAUUUCGAGAUCAAUUUGUUGGUCGUGCCUCGGUACGUACUGGCAAUUUUGAUUUCUCCCUUCUGAAGAACCAUGAUGUCAUUAAUUUGGUGUCAUGGGGAAUCAGGACCGUUACUUUGAAAAAAUUAAAGUGUUUAAAGCAGGCUCGCGCUUGAAUACAUUAGCAUGGAAUAAUGAAAUAGGACGUUUGAUUCUAUUUUGUUGGUUUCUAGGAUCGACGUAAUGAUUAAUAGGGAUAGUUGGGGGCAUUAGUAUUCAAUUGUCAGAGGUGAAAUUCUUGGAUUUAUUGAAGACUAACUACUGCGAAAGCAUUUGCCAAGGAUGUUUUCAUUAAUCAAGAACGAAAGUUAGGGGAUCGAAGACGAUCAGAUACCGUCGUAGUCUUAACCAUAAACUAUGCCGACUAGGGAUCGGAUGAUGUUAAUUUUUUUAAUGUACUCAUUCGGCGCCUUAC
This 522-nucleotide ribosomal RNA is filed under the name uncultured Glomus. RNAcentral's name for it is "SSU rRNA". It matches the Rfam family "Eukaryotic small subunit ribosomal RNA", at positions 569 to 1091 of the family's 1831-position model. The record is from RNAcentral. Lineage: Eukaryota; Fungi; Glomeromycota; Glomeromycetes; Glomerales; Glomeraceae.